RNAcentral lists this ribosomal RNA (432 nucleotides) under uncultured bacterium. Its description in RNAcentral is "bacterial SSU rRNA". It matches the Rfam family "Bacterial small subunit ribosomal RNA", at positions 29 to 507 of the family's 1533-position model. The record is from RNAcentral.
AACGAACGCUGGCGGCAGGCCUAACACAUGCAAGUCGAGCGAGGGGCAACCCUAGCGGCGGACGGGUGAGUAACGCGUGGGAACGUACCCUUUGGUUCGGAAUAGCCCCUGGAAACGGGGAGUAAUACCGGAUACGGUCGAGAGACGAAAGAUUUAUCGCCGAAGGAUCGGCCCGCGUUGGAUUAGGUAGUUGGUGGGGUAAUGGCCUACCAAGCCGACGAUCCAUAGCUGGUUUGAGAGGAUGAUCAGCCACACUGGGACUGAGACACGGCCCAGACUCCUACGGGAGGCAGCAGUGGGGAAUCUUAGACAAUGGGCGCAAGCCUGAUCUAGCCAUGCCGCGUGAUCGAUGAAGGCCUUAGGGUUGUAAAGAUCUUUCAGUGGGGAAGAUAAUGACUGUACCCACAGAAGAAGCCCCCGGCUAACUCCGUG